UACGUAGGUGGCAAGCGUUGUCCGGAUUUACUGGGCGUAAAGAGCGCGCAGGCGGUCGUUCAAGUCGCGUGUGAAAGCCCCCGGCUCAACUGGGGAGGGUCACGCGAUACUGAUCGACUGGAAGGCAGGAGAGGGUAGUGGAAUUCCCGGUGUAGUGGUGAAAUGCGUAGAUAUCGGGAGGAACACCAGUCGCGAAGGCGACUACCUGGCCUGUUCUUGACGCUGAGGCGCGAAAGCUAGGGGAGCAAACGGG
Molecule: ribosomal RNA, 253 nt
Filed under: uncultured bacterium
Lineage: Bacteria
Description: partial 16S ribosomal RNA
Rfam family: Bacterial small subunit ribosomal RNA
Source: RNAcentral